GCCAACAUAGUUUUGAUCAAAACACUAAGUUGUG
RNAcentral lists this transfer RNA (34 nucleotides) under Blaesodactylus sakalava. RNAcentral's name for it is "partial tRNA-His". The record is from RNAcentral. Lineage: Eukaryota; Metazoa; Chordata; Lepidosauria; Squamata; Gekkonidae.